UACGUAGGGGGCAAGCGUUGUCCGGAAUCAUUGGGCGUAAAGCGCGCGUAGGCGGCCCGGUAAGUCCGCUGUGAAAGUCGGGGGCUCAACCCUCGGAUGCCGGUGGAUACUGUCGGGCUUGAGUGCGGAAGAGGCGAGUGGAAUUCCUGGUGUAGCGGUGAAAUGCGCAGAUAUCAGGAGGAAGACCGGUGGCGAAGGCGGCCUGCUGGGCAGAUACUGACACUGAGGCGCGACAGCGUGGGGAGCAAACAGG
RNAcentral lists this ribosomal RNA (253 nucleotides) under uncultured bacterium. RNAcentral's name for it is "partial 16S ribosomal RNA". It matches the Rfam family "Bacterial small subunit ribosomal RNA", at positions 524 to 776 of the family's 1533-position model. The record is from RNAcentral.